RNAcentral lists this ribosomal RNA (375 nucleotides) under Rhodella violacea. RNAcentral describes it as "partial Bacterial small subunit ribosomal RNA". It matches the Rfam family "Bacterial small subunit ribosomal RNA", at positions 340 to 706 of the family's 1533-position model. Lineage: Eukaryota; Rhodophyta; Rhodellophyceae; Rhodellales; Rhodellaceae. The record is from RNAcentral.
UACGGGAGGCAGCAGUAGGGAAUCUUCGGCAAUGGACGGAAGUCUGACCGAGCAACGCCGCGUGAGUGAAGAAGGUUUUCGGAUCGUAAAGCUCUGUUGUAAGAGAAGAACGAGUGUGAGAGUGGAAAGUUCACACUGUGACGGUAUCUUACCAGAAAGGGACGGCUAACUACGUGCCAGCAGCCGCGGUAAUACGUAGGGUGCGAGCGUUGUCCGGAAUUACUGGGCGUAAAGAGCUCGUAGGUGGUUUGUCGCGUCUGCUGUGGAAACGUGCCGCUUAACGGUGCGCGUGCAGUGGGUACGGGCGGACUAGAGUGCAGUAGGGGAGUCUGGAAUUCCUGGUGUAGCGGUGAAAUGCGCAGAUAUCAGGAGGAA